CUAUCCUUGCAGAUCCUUGUAAGUUCUGUAUAAAUUCGAUUGAAUGGACACAGGUGCUGUCCUUAUAGUUUCCAUGACAUCAAGGAUCUUUUGCUGUUCUUUCAAAAUCUAUUGAAGGAUUCAAGGACUCAAAUCGCUCUUAAGGACCUCCACGACUCCAACAAAGUCAAGCAAAUCAGCUGCACACAAGGACAACAAAUGUGUAGAUGUAUUCUUAGAUGGCCGCAAAAAGCUUAGAUGCAGAUCGAUGCAGCUGAUUGAAGGAUUCAAGGACUCCAAUGGAUUCUAAGGACCUCUACGGCUCCGACAAGGAUAUCCCAACAAGGAUCGGAAGGAUAUUUAGCCAAAUAUAGCUAUUUUAAGUAAAAAUAAGAAAUUCAUUAAGAAUAC
This is a long non-coding RNA of Drosophila novamexicana, 390 nucleotides long. RefSeq lists it as uncharacterized. Lineage: Eukaryota; Metazoa; Arthropoda; Insecta; Diptera; Drosophilidae. The transcript has 4 exons. The record is from RefSeq and is a predicted model, not a curated record.